AUACGUAGGGGGCUAGCGUUAUCCGGAAUUACUGGGCGUAAAGGGUGCGUAGGUGGUUUCUUAAGUCAGAAGUGAAAGGCUACGGCUCAACCGUAGUAAGCUUUUGAAACUAAGAGACUUGAGUGCAGGAGAGGAGAGUAGAAUUCCUAGUGUAGCGGUGAAAUGCGUAGAUAUUAGGAGGAAUACCAGUUGCGAAGGCGGCUCUCUGGACUGUAACUGACACUGAGGCACGAAAGCGUGGGGAGCAAACAGGAUUAGAUACCCUGGUAGUCCACGCCGUAAACGAUGAGUACUAGCUGUCGGGGGUUACCCCCCUCGGUGGCGCAGCUAACGCAUUAAGUACUCCGCCUGGGAAGUACGCUCGCAAGAGUGAAACUCAAAGGAAUGGACGGGG
RNAcentral lists this ribosomal RNA (394 nucleotides) under uncultured bacterium. Its description in RNAcentral is "partial 16S ribosomal RNA". It matches the Rfam family "Bacterial small subunit ribosomal RNA", at positions 523 to 918 of the family's 1533-position model. The record is from RNAcentral.